GGCGAUGUAGCUCAGUGGCAGAGUGCUGACUUCGCAUGCGAGAGGUCCUCGGUUCGAUUCCCGGUGUCUCCA
This 72-nucleotide transfer RNA is filed under the name Echinococcus granulosus. RNAcentral describes it as "transfer RNA-Pseudo". It matches the Rfam family "tRNA". Rfam says of the family: Transfer RNA (tRNA) molecules are approximately 80 nucleotides in length. Their secondary structure includes four short double-helical elements and three loops (D, anti-codon, and T loops). The record is from RNAcentral. Lineage: Eukaryota; Metazoa; Platyhelminthes; Cestoda; Cyclophyllidea; Taeniidae.